This is a long non-coding RNA of Pseudoliparis swirei, 750 nucleotides long. RefSeq lists it as uncharacterized. The record is from RefSeq and is a predicted model, not a curated record. Lineage: Eukaryota; Metazoa; Chordata; Actinopteri; Perciformes; Liparidae. The transcript is spliced from 4 exons.
GUCUGUUAUCGGUUGAAGAUUUGAAACACAGAACAAAAAGUCUUCUCGUUGGAUUGUGACAGUUUGGGGAUUUAAUUGGCAAACAAUUAAUUAAGGGACCGGUGGACAUUUUUUUGGGUGGGCAAAUGGGACGCAACUGAAAUGCCGACGGCAGAUAAAGAGUCUUUCUGCUGCACACUGAAGGGAAGGAAGACUGCAUCCACAGCACGGAAAGAGAGAGAGCAAAAUCGAUCACCCGCCUGCUUUUCGGGGUAGCAGAGGAGGCCCCCGGAGAUGUCAAGUCUGCUGAAGUGGUGGAGGAAGGCUGGCUUGUUGUGAGUCAUCAAGAGGCCGGUUUAGAUGAGAACAACCAGGGUGCAGAGCAGACUGAGUCCCAGGCAUCGAGUUCUGCUCUUCAAGGAGACACGCUAGCAAACGUGGAAAGUGACAUCAGUGUUUUUGAUCCAGAGCCCACCGUUCAAAGCAGCAGCAGCAGCGGUGGAGCCAUCCCAAGCUCUGUUUCUCAGCCUCGAGCCGUGUUAGAAGUGACACAGUUGUCCUGCGUCCAGAAGGCCAAGGCCUGGGCCGACCCGCACCACAUGUCUCGUAAUGCCAUUCAGCGCCAGAACCGCGUUCGCCAAGGAGUCCAGCACCAAUACUACCACCUCCAACAGCCGGGACAUCGUAACCUCAGCCACUGAGUCUCUGGCUGUAGAACGGCAAAUGUCAAGCAUGAAAAAAUAAUCCUUGAUGCAUUGUCCUUCAUUCUUC